CCUACGGGAGGCAGCAGUGGGGAAUAUUGCACAAUGGGGGGAACCCUGAUGCAGCAACGCCGCGUGGGUGAAGAAGUACUCCGGUAUGUAAAGCCCUGUCAGCUGGGAAGAAAAUGCCGGUACCUUACCAAGAAGCCCCGGCUAACUAGUUGCCAGGCGCCGCGGUAAUACGUAGGGGGCAAGCGGUAUCCGGAUUUACUGGGUGUAAAGGGGGCGUAGACGGCAAGGCAAGUCGUGAGUGAAAGCCCGUGGCCCAGACACGGGACUGCUUUGGAAACUGUGUUGCUGGAGUGCAGGAGGGGUAAGCGGAAUUCCUGGUGUAGCGGUGAAAUGCGUAGAUAUUAGGAGGAACACCGGUGGCGAAGGCGGCUUACUGGACUGUAACUGACGUUGAGGCUCGAAGGUGUGGGGAGCAAACAGGAUUAGAUACCCCUGUAGUC
RNAcentral lists this ribosomal RNA (440 nucleotides) under uncultured bacterium. Its description in RNAcentral is "partial 16S ribosomal RNA". It matches the Rfam family "Bacterial small subunit ribosomal RNA", at positions 338 to 795 of the family's 1533-position model. The record is from RNAcentral.